Molecule: ribosomal RNA, 2134 nt
Filed under: Salmonella enterica subsp. enterica serovar Virchow
Lineage: Bacteria; Pseudomonadati; Pseudomonadota; Gammaproteobacteria; Enterobacterales; Enterobacteriaceae
Description: partial 23S ribosomal RNA
Rfam family: Bacterial large subunit ribosomal RNA
Source: RNAcentral
AGACCCGAAACCCGGUGAUCUAGCCAUGGGCAGGUUGAAGGUUGGGUAACACUAACUGGAGGACCGAACCGACUAAUGUUGAAAAAUUAGCGGAUGACCUGUGGCUGGGGGUGAAAGGCCAAUCAAACCGGGAGAUAGCUGGUUCUCCCCGAAAGCUAUUUAGGUAGCGCCUCGUGAAUUCAUCUCCGGGGGUAGAGCACUGUUUCGGCUAGGGGGCCAUCCCGGCUUACCAACCCGAUGCAAACUGCGAAUACCGGAGAAUGUUAUCACGGGAGACACACGGCGGGUGCUAACGUCCGUCGUGAAGAGGGAAACAACCCAGACCGCCAGCUAAGGUCCCAAAGUCAUGGUUAAGUGGGAAACGAUGUGGGAAGGCCCAGACAGCCAGGAUGUUGGCUUAGAAGCAGCCAUCAUUUAAAGAAAGCGUAAUAGCUCACUGGUCGAGUCGGCCUGCGCGGAAGAUGUAACGGGGCUAAACCAUGCACCGAAGCUGCGGCAGCGACACUCAGGUGUUGUUGGGUAGGGGAGCGUUCUGUAAGCCUGUGAAGGUGGCCUGUGAGGGUUGCUGGAGGUAUCAGAAGUGCGAAUGCUGACAUAAGUAACGAUAAAGCGGGUGAAAAGCCCGCUCGCCGGAAGACCAAGGGUUCCUGUCCAACGUUAAUCGGGGCAGGGUGAGUCGACCCCUAAGGCGAGGCCGAAAGGCGUAGUCGAUGGGAAACGGGUUAAUAUUCCCGUACUUGGUGUUACUGCGAAGGGGGGACGGAGAAGGCUAUGUUGGCCGGGCGACGGUUGUCCCGGUUUAAGCGUGUAGGUGUGUGUUCCAGGUAAAUCCGGUUCACUUUAACACUGAGGCGUGACGACGAGGCACUACGGUGCUGAAGCAACAAAUGCCCUGCUUCCAGGAAAAGCCUCUAAGCAUCAGGUAACAUCAAAUCGUACCCCAAACCGACACAGGUGGUCAGGUAGAGAAUACCAAGGCGCUUGAGAGAACUCGGGUGAAGGAACUAGGCAAAAUGGUGCCGUAACUUCGGGAGAAGGCACGCUGACACGUAGGUGAAGUGAUUUACUCAUGGAGCUGAAGUCAGUCGAAGAUACCAGCUGGCUGCAACUGUUUAUUAAAAACACAGCACUGUGCAAACACGAAAGUGGACGUAUACGGUGUGACGCCUGCCCGGUGCCGGAAGGUUAAUUGAUGGGGUCAGCGCAAGCGAAGCUCCUGAUCGAAGCCCCGGUAAACGGCGGCCGUAACUAUAACGGUCCUAAGGUAGCGAAAUUCCUUGUCGGGUAAGUUCCGACCUGCACGAAUGGCGUAAUGAUGGCCAGGCUGUCUCCACCCGAGACUCAGUGAAAUUGAACUCGCUGUGAAGAUGCAGUGUACCCGCGGCAAGACGGAAAGACCCCGUGAACCUUUACUAUAGCUUGACACUGAACAUUGAGCCUUGAUGUGUAGGAUAGGUGGGAGGCUUUGAAGUGUGGACGCCAGUCUGCAUGGAGCCGACCUUGAAAUACCACCCUUUAAUGUUUGAUGUUCUAACGUGGACCCGUAAUCCGGGUUGCGGACAGUGUCUGGUGGGUAGUUUGACUGGGGCGGUCUCCUCCUAAAGAGUAACGGAGGAGCACGAAGGUUGGCUAAUCCUGGUCGGACAUCAGGAGGUUAGUGCAAUGGCAUAAGCCAGCUUGACUGCGAGCGUGACGGCGCGAGCAGGUGCGAAAGCAGGUCAUAGUGAUCCGGUGGUUCUGAAUGGAAGGGCCAUCGCUCAACGGAUAAAAGGUACUCCGGGGAUAACAGGCUGAUACCGCCCAAGAGUUCAUAUCGACGGCGGUGUUUGGCACCUCGAUGUCGGCUCAUCACAUCCUGGGGCUGAAGUAGGUCCCAAGGGUAUGGCUGUUCGCCAUUUAAAGUGGUACGCGAGCUGGGUUUAGAACGUCGUGAGACAGUUCGGUCCCUAUCUGCCGUGGGCGCUGGAGAACUGAGGGGGGCUGCUCCUAGUACGAGAGGACCGGAGUGGACGCAUCACUGGUGUUCGGGUUGUCAUGCCAAUGGCACUGCCCGGUAGCUAAAUGCGGAAGAGAUAAGUGCUGAAAGCAUCUAAGCACGAAACUUGCCCCGAGAUGAGUUCUCCCUGAGACUUUA